UCUAGUCAACCCUGGAAAGAAUUUCGUCAGCCUCCAUGUGAUCUAGCUCACUGGCUACUUGAUUAGGGAUAGGAAAAGGAACAGGAUGGGCUUUGUAAAACUUGGGUGUGGCAUUUUCAUUUAACACUAUUUGGCUCUUGAUAAGUUUGUGUUUUCCAGCGCCAUCUUUGAACACUGUUGUGGCAUCAUCCAGUAUCUUUCUUAAUUUGAUUUCGACUCUAUUGCAGGGAUGUGGCAUGCAAAUUAUGGAUGGAUCUCCAAUUAAAUUUUAGUUUUCUGAGCCUCUCAUGUCCCCACAAUACUGGCCUUCCUGUUCUUACCAGAUAAAUAAGAACAUAAGAAAUAAGAGCAGGAGUAGGCCAUCUAGCCCAUUGAGCCUGCCCCGCCACUCAAUAAGAUCAUGGCUGAUCUGUCCAUAAACUCAGCUCCAUCUACCUACCUUUUCCCCAUAACCCUUAAUUCCCCUACUAUGUAAAAAUCUAUCUAACUGUAUCUUAAAUGUGCUUAGUUAAGAAGCCUCAACUGCUUCCCUGGGCAGAGAAUUCCACAGAUUCACCACUCUCUGGGAAAAACUCAUCUCCAUCCUAAAUCUUCUCCUCCGAAUCUUGAGGCAAUACUCCCUAGUUCUAGUCUCACCUACCAAUGGAAACAACUUUCCUACUUCUAUCUUAUCUAUCCCUUUCAAAAUUUUGUAUGUUUCUAUAAGAUACCCUCUCAUUCUUCUGAAUUCCAGACAGUAUAGUCCUAGGCAACUCAAUCUCUCCUCAUAGGUUAACCCCUUCACCUCUGGAAUCAACCUGGUGAACCUCCUCUGCACUACCUCGAAAGUCAGUAUAUCCUUCCUGAAGAAUGGAGACCAGACCUGCACACAGUACGCCAGGUGCGGCCUCACCAGUACCCUGUAUAGUUGCAGCACGUUCACCGGGUAGGUUUCUGACUAGAUGCUGCAAUUUUGUUCAUGCUCAUUUUUGUUCCUGACUGUAACACAAAUGGAUCUCUGUCAACUGUUUCUAUUGAUAGAUCUACUUCAACUGCUUUUAAUUUGCGAUAACUUUCAACUGCAGUAAGUUGCAUUUUAAUUAGGAGUCAUUUUUGAAUGCUUUCUUGUAAGAUCACUCAGUAUAUCAUUAAAACCAUUACUGAACUGACAAUGCUCAGACAUCUUCUUCAAUUCAGCCAACUAAGCUGAAAUGGACUACUCUUCCCUUUGAUUCUGCUGAUGAAACCGAAAACAUUCUGCAAUCAACAAUGAGUCCUGAAGAAGAGUCUUGGCCUGAAAUGUCAACUGUUUAUUAAUUUCCAUAGAUGUUGCCUAUCCUGGUCAUUUAUAAAAAUCACGAAGAGUAGGUGUCCCAGAACAGAUCCCUGAGGCACCCCACUGGUGACCGACCUCCAUGCCGAAUAUGACCCGUGUACAACCAUUCUUUGUCUUCUGUGGAUGCUGCCUUAUCUGUCAAGAGCGUCCAGUAUUCUCUGCUUAUAUUAACUGAAUAUCUGUCAUGCUGCUGUCUGCAAGAUUCACAGGACACCAAGAGACAGCCCCUGAAUGCAAAUAUGAGAAGGUAGAAGGCCUAAUUUUUGUACCACAGCCUCCUUAAGCAUCUAUCAAGCAACUUGACCAGUGAGGAGAACAGCAGGAAACAGUGAACAAAAACAGAUUUUGCGCUGAAAUCAUUAGACUCCUAACUCUUGCCGUUAUCCUCAGGAUAAAUUCAGUAGCAGACUGAGCAUACACUGCUGAGUAUUAAGAAAGUGAAUAAUUGGGGGAACAUGUUAUGCUUGGAGUGGAAUUCUGAUUUGCAUUUUGUAUUUAUGUGUUAUGUCUGGGGAAGGAAUUGUACCAAAUUUGAGUGCAUGGCUUGGCACGUUGGAUCAAAAUUGAGCUUUGAUCUGAGGCACAUUUAUUUGAAGUUGACAGCACUGGCCUCCAUUUAUGUUUGUACUAAGUGAGCUCGCAGCUCCAGUGGUGGAACUACGAUAAUACAUUUUGAAGUCGACACUAUUGUCAGAUAGCUGCUGUCUCAGGUACAGACAACUGGAAAUUUUAUAAGUACCAUAUGAAACAAUAUAGGUCAUAAAGUCAGAGACAAAAGCAAUGCACUGAUUCUCAAAUUGUUCCUUCUGGGAAUAAUUUUGUCAAGGUUUCUAGACAGAAAAAGGAGAGCAUGUUUGUUCCUGUGUCAUGAUAAAUGUGUUAAAUUUGAUCUUUAUUCAGCUUAUUUCUGAUGCAUUGUACAUGAAGACUUUAAAAAGAUCAGAUAAUGUUAAAUGCUAUGUAUAUUGUCAUUCAAUGUUUAGAUUUCAAGUAUUUAAGGGAAAUAGCUGUAAUGAGUCUGGUUAACAGUGAAGCAAAGACUUCAUAUGAACUGUUCUCCAGAUAAAAUAUUAUAACCAAAGAAGAUAUCAUUUCUUUGAUGUAAUCAUUUCCUCUUACGUUCAAGGAGCUGUUUUGAAUUGCUGUUCAUUUCGGAAUCCAUUCUAAUGAUGCAUAUUAAACUGCUCCUGCUGAUACACGGUGCUGAAAUCCAGGAAUGCUUUGGCUGCAAAUGUUUAUGUGCCUUAAAUUAAAGUGUCCACGGAAUAAAACAUUAGGAUUUGAAUAAGAGUGGAAAAGAAGGUCAGAUAAACCUCAAGGGAAGGACUUGCUAGCGUCUGAAAAGGAUGGAUCUUCAAUAGAUCCCAGAGUAAAUGGAACUCAACAUGUGAAAAGUCCCUGUUUGAAGGAUUGGAAGGGACUUGGGGAAAUAAUCUCCGAGUGAGAGGUAGUGAUCUGGGACACAAGAGCUGUGAUGUUGGUGUAAGCAGAAACCUUAUUUAUCAUGAUGCAACUAAAAGUUUGCAGGGAGUAGGGGUUAAGUAUAAAUUUUAU
Hypanus sabinus (Atlantic stingray) is the source of this 2869-nucleotide long non-coding RNA. RefSeq lists it as uncharacterized. Lineage: Eukaryota; Metazoa; Chordata; Chondrichthyes; Myliobatiformes; Dasyatidae. The transcript has 4 exons. The record is from RefSeq and is a predicted model, not a curated record.